ACGAACGCUGGCGGCAUGCCUAACACAUGCCAGUCGAACGAUGCCUUCGGGCAUAGUGGCGCACGGGUGCGUAACGCGUGGGAAUCUGCCUUUCGGUUCGGAAUAACUCAGGGAAACUUGAGCUAAUACCGGAUAACGUCGCAAGACCAAAGAUUUAUCACCGAAAGAUGAGCCCGCGUAGGAUUAGCUAGUUGGUGAGGUAAAGGCUCACCAAGGCGACGAUCCUUAGCUGGUCUGAGAGGAUGAUCAGCCACACUGGGACUGAGACACGGCCCAGACUCCUACGGGAGGCAGCAGUGGGGAAUAUUGGACAAUGGGCGAAAGCCUGAUCCAGCAAUGCCGCGUGAGUGAUGAAGGCCUUAGGGUUGUAAAGCUCUUUUACCCGGGAAGAUAAUGACGGUACCGGGAGAAUAAGCCCCGGCUAACUCCGUG
RNAcentral lists this ribosomal RNA (432 nucleotides) under uncultured bacterium. Its description in RNAcentral is "partial 16S ribosomal RNA". It matches the Rfam family "Bacterial small subunit ribosomal RNA", at positions 29 to 507 of the family's 1533-position model. The record is from RNAcentral.